GAGGUCGUUACGACGGCGAUGGCGCCUUCAGAUAUCGCGCAAAUACUUCCAACCGGCGCCGAUCGGACUAUUUGCGCGGAUCCCGAUGGCGUCGAGGUGUCCAUGAUCAGAAGAGGGUUCAUGAUGGCGCACACCAACAGUUUAGAUCGAUGGAGUUUGUGUACCGAGGGGAAGACGAUGGGAGAUGAGCUUGUGGCAACUUGUAUUUUAGCUGGCUGGAGUUGUAUGCAUCGGUGAAGUACAUGAUCGGGAUAACUGUGACAACUUGAUAGGGAGAGAUGUGACACCUUAAAAGGGAAUAUGAGUAAUCAAGAGCGAUAAACAUUAUUUAAGUUUACGUCAAAUUGCUCAAGUGCAAU
Molecule: long non-coding RNA, 359 nt
Organism: Hylaeus anthracinus
Lineage: Eukaryota; Metazoa; Arthropoda; Insecta; Hymenoptera; Colletidae
Exons: 3
Source: RefSeq, a predicted model, not a curated record